GACGAACGCUGGCGGCGUGCUUAACACAUGCAAGUCGAACGGAAAGGCACUGCUUUUGUGGGGUGCUCGAAUGGCGAAAGGGUGAGUAACAAGGGAGAAACCUGCCCUUGACUUUGGGAUAACUUCGGGAAACUGGGGCUAAUACCGGAUAGGAGCUCCUGCUGCAUGGUGGGGGUUGGAAAGUUUCGGCGGUUGGGGAUGGACUCGCGGCUUAUCAGCUUGUUGGUGGGGUAGUGGCUUACCAAGGCUUUGACGGGUAGCCGGCCUGAGAGGGUGACCGGCCACAUUGGGACUGAGAUACGGCCCAGACUCCUACGGGAGGCAGCAGUGGGGAAUAUUGCACAGUGGGCGGAAGCCUGAUGCAGCAACGCCGCGUGCGGAAUGACGGCCUUCGGGUUGUAAACCGCUUUCGCCUGUGACGAAGCGUGAGUGACGGUAAUGGGUAAAGAAGCACCGGCUAACUACGUG
RNAcentral lists this ribosomal RNA (468 nucleotides) under uncultured bacterium. RNAcentral's name for it is "partial 16S ribosomal RNA". It matches the Rfam family "Bacterial small subunit ribosomal RNA", at positions 28 to 507 of the family's 1533-position model. The record is from RNAcentral.